UAAUUAGAUCCCCUUCUCCAACCCUCCGAUCCUUCUCAAAAGCCCGAACCGCCUCCGCCUUUCGCUCAAGCGAAGCAUCCCCUCCUCCUCCUCCACCACCCCUUCCCUUCCCCUUCCCUUUGCGGUCGGCGUCGUGGAUUGAUCGCCGCGGCGGGCGGCCAUGUGGGUCGAGAUACUGUGCGGCCUGGUGGCCUACAAGCUCAUCCGCGCCGUCUUCUUCUCCGACGACGGCCUCGACCAGCUCGCCGGCCUCGACUCCUCCCACUCCGAUCUCUGCUUCGCCGUCGCAGCCAGGCUCGAGAGGCUCUACGGCGGCCGCUGCUUCGUCGGCCUCCGCAUCCCCGACCCCGACGCCGGUGCGCGCCAGCAUGUCGACGUCGUUCUCGUCACCAAGAGGGAGGUCAUGGUGGUGGCAAUCAACAAUGUCUCUGGUUUUGUUGAGGUUGACAAGGAUGGUAACUGGUUCACUGAAAAGAAGCGCAAGCAGGAGGUUAUUCGAAACCCGGUACUAGAAGUCAGUAGGAUAGCUGCCAAUCUUCAAUCAUACUUGGAGCAGAGGGGAGCAACACUGCCUAACGGGAUUGUAAAUGGAAGAGUUGUACUGCCAAAUCCCAACUGCAGGCCUUCGUACACUAUUAAUCUUCAACCGGAGGUUAUCUCGUACGAUCAAUGGAAAGAUCUUAAGGCAGACACAAAAGGUGGACUUUCGACAUGGAUUAAAGGUGCAUUUCAUGGAAACAAAAGCGACAUCCAAGAUUCAUUACUCCAAAAUCUGUAUUCUAUUCUCAGCACGUCGCCUAUGUGGGACAGGUUGGAACUCAGAGGGGACAAAAAUGUCCUUGGUGAAUUCAUGGAAUUUAAAGGCAAGCAUGAAGACAUGCCACUCCUGAAAAAAGUGAAGAGAUCAAAAGUUAGCCGGUUUGUCAUCCAGAAAUCAACUCUUUUUGGAGGUUUUGGUAAGCCCUGUGUACUGUGUCUUCUUGCUAUUCUGUUUUGUACUCCCCAUGUUAGCAUAUUUUGUACUGUGAUUUGUUAUUGCUCUAGGUUGGCAGGGAAACGGUUGUGCUUCAAGUAGUUUUGGCACCUAUACUAAUGCCUAAUACUAGAUCGAUGCAUGAAAUGAAAAUAGAUGCAUGAAAGGCCUGUAGAUGUUAUGGCUACGUUCAUCCUGGUACUGUACAGGAAUUUAUUUUAUAAGAAAGCUCCAGUGAUAUGGUCAAUCGAGCAGAAGGUAAAAAUUCCUUCUCUUAGAAAAGGGAACUAAAAUGCUAGAUGAGUUCACAAGAAAAAAUAAAUUAAACAGCUAGUCCGCCCAGGCUGCUAAAUACCCACAAUGUGACUAGCAUUUGACAAAAGGCAUACGUCUUGGACUAGCAGCAGGGUGGCCGAAUAGAGGGAGAUCAGGUUCCAUUUAGGGAUUAGUGCUUUAUUAGGAAGACUAAGAUAAAGUGACCCUAAUCUGUUAAGGGGUCUGUAUUGUAUUAGGGAAGGCCCAAGGGAUAUGCACCACUAUAUAAGGAUGCUAUGUAUCUCAUUAAUGAAUCAUGCAAGAAAACAAUCUAUUCUUCUAAACAUUCUCAUCUCGAUCUAUGUUCCAACCAAUCCCCUGGAGGCUGGAGCCAUGCCGUCUAAGCUAUCUUAAGCACGGUAGUUAUCCUGUUGUGAAUCGAGGUUCACGACAGCAUCAUAACAAAAAUUGCAAUACUACGCUAGUAUAUUACUCCCUCUGUAAAAAAUAAAUAAGAGUGUUUAGAUCACUAAAGUAGUGAUCUAAACACUCUUAUAUUUCUUUACAGAGGGAGUACAAAUUUACAAGACCCCCUAGCUGCAGCACAAAAGAAGACCUCACAUUUGGUUAUCGCAACACCCUGCCAGCACCCAUGGGUGGGUUUCAUCAGAUAAUUAAGAGAAACAUCGACAGUCUCUUCAAAGUCAUCAUUCGUCUUGGCCCUUGUUAAUUAUCCCAUUGGCCACCUUCUUGAUACUCACAGCACCUUCAUGCAACACCAGACGCCCUUAUUCUUUCUGUAACAAGCCCCCAAAAUCGGGCCAACAGCAGAUUGAGAUAAUUACUUUGGAAGGAUCAGAUAAGAAUGGCUUUGGAAAAAGAGGCACCAUUGUUACUUUUAUCGAACUUGUUUGACCACUCACCCAAGCAUUGUUGAGCAUUGUCUGGCGUUUGAACAGGAUUAAAAGAACACAUAAUUUCACACUAGACAUACUUUCCUAAUGGAUAUGUAAAGAAGAUAUAAUCAGUUGUCUUAGUUGCAUUUAUUUUCAUUACUUAAUGUUCAUCACCCUUCCAACAUCACCUGAUCAAAUUAUCCUCUUCCAAGAUGCUAUUUAAGCACCAACCACAAGGAGAGUUUUAAUUCUCUAUUGUGCUUCACUACAUUGAUUUAAUCAGUUAACAGAAUCCGUAUCCAAAAUAACUAGCAUGGCUUGUUUUUUCUGUUAAAUCUGCUGGCUAAAAUGCUGUGAUCAAUUUGAAUGAGCCACAUCUGUUUGAUUUGGUUUGUCCCUUGCGCAAAUACAGGCAGGUCGCGAGUCCAAAUACUGUAUUCUCCUCGAGAUUACCGAGCUGAGGGCACUUCAUCUUCAGAAUGGAAAGAGAUCUCCGUGAAGCAGUACACCGAGAUUCAUUUCCAGCCGUUGCACUCCAAAAAAGUCCGGAAAUUCAAGCUGUCGAGUGUUGCUUCCGUGACACUGAGCGCCUAGUAAGUACUCCCUCUGUAAACUAAUAUAAGAGUGUUUAGAACACUAUUUUAGUGUUCUAAACGCUCUUAUAUUAGUUUACAGAGGGAGUAGAAAUUUUAUGCGCAGAAUCUGGGGUGCUACAGUUUCCAAACUUUCUGGCUCCCUCAUAGGAGAUGUGUUUCUCUUGCCUCUGUACAUCCAUCCCUAUUUUCAAGUCAAGAUGUAACUGAACAUGAAUUACAUGAAUGAAUAAUGGAAUAGGUUUCUUGUUGAGAUUCAGGUGAGUGUGUGUAGACUGCAAGUCUGCAGCUGGAAUCCCAAUCCCUCAACAGUAUUGCUGGUGAGGGAUGGUUGGUCCACUCCCUUUUGCUCUCUGCCUAUCUAUGGGUACCUUGGAGCCUAGGAUUGAACUGUCGUUUUCUGUGGAGCCACCUGGCGGAAAGGCAAGAUGGAUCUGGAACGCUUCUUUGUGUGUCAAGUAGUAUGACGUAUGCAAUGAUGCUCUGCAUGCUUCACUCGACGGUGGCGGUCGCCGGUCGAUGUACCGCCAUUGUAUGGCCCACCAGUGAUGGUGAUGCUGUGAAUGUUAAGUAUGAGCUUUGUCGACUGUGUAUGCAAUUUAGGAUGGCUUUUUGUGAGAUGAAUAUGUAGUUGUCAGCUGAUUUUGAUCACUUGUUCUUCAAUGUAUG
RNAcentral lists this ribosomal RNA (3386 nucleotides) under Triticum aestivum (bread wheat). RNAcentral describes it as "partial small subunit ribosomal RNA". The stretch from base 2722 to 2808 matches the Rfam family "MIR1120/MIR1122 microRNA precursor family". The record is from RNAcentral. Lineage: Eukaryota; Viridiplantae; Streptophyta; Magnoliopsida; Poales; Poaceae.